GACGAACGCUGGCGGCGUGCUUAACACAUGCAAGUCGAACGGGAUCCGGGCUUUCGGGUUUGGUGAGAGUGGCGAACGGGUGAGUAACACGUGAGUAACCUGCCCCCUUCUUUGGGAUAACGUCGGGAAAUCGGCGCUAAUACUGGAUAUUCUUGCUGCAUCGCAUGGUGUGGUUUGGAAAGGGUUUCUGGUGGGGGAUGGGCUCGCGGCCUAUCAGCUUGUUGGUGGGGUGAUGGCCUACCAAGGCUUUGACGGGUAGCCGGGCUGAGAGGAUGUCCGGCGACACUGGGACUGAGACACGGCCCAGACUCCUACGGGAGGCAGCAGUGGGGAAUAGUGGACAAUGGGCGCAAGCCUGAUGCAGCGACGCCGCGUGAGGGAUGACGGGCUUCGGGUUGUAAACCUCUUUCAGUAUGGAACAAGGAUCCUUCUUUUGGGGGGUUUGAGGGUACGUGCAGAAGAAGCGCCGGCUAACUACGUG
RNAcentral lists this ribosomal RNA (481 nucleotides) under uncultured bacterium. Its description in RNAcentral is "partial 16S ribosomal RNA". It matches the Rfam family "Bacterial small subunit ribosomal RNA", at positions 28 to 507 of the family's 1533-position model. The record is from RNAcentral.